GUAGGGAAUAUUGGGCAAUGGAGGCAACUCUGACCCAGCCAUGCCGCGUGCAGGAUGACGGCCCUCUGGGUUGUAAACUGCUUUUAUACGGGAAGAAAAAAUACUACGUGUAGUAUACUGACGGUACCGUAAGAAUAAGGAUCGGCUAACUCCGUGCCAGCAGCCGCGGUAAUACGGAGGAUCCAAGCGUUGUCCGGAUUUAUUGGGUUUAAAGGGUGCGUAGGCGGAUCUUUAAGUCAGUGGUGAAAGCCUGCAGCUUAACUGUAGAAUUGCCAUUGAAACUGAAGAUCUUGAAUGUGGUUAACGUAGGCGGAAUGUAUCAUGUAGCGGUGAAAUGCUUAGAUAUGAUACAGAACACCGAUAGCGAAGGCAGCUUGCUGAACCAUUAUUGACGCUGAGGCACGAAAGCGUGGGGAGCGAACAGGAUUAGAUACCCUUGUAGUCC
Molecule: ribosomal RNA, 445 nt
Filed under: uncultured bacterium
Lineage: Bacteria
Description: bacterial SSU rRNA
Rfam family: Bacterial small subunit ribosomal RNA
Source: RNAcentral